AUUAUACAUAUGUUGCACAAUGGAAAAUGAGAAAAGGCAACUGACAAGGCGUGACAUUGGCAGUGUAUCACAGAUGACUUUAUUAUCACUAAUAUAGGAGUUUGCACUGUGUAUUUAUAGGGAGUCUCCACAUGAUGAUCAGUUCAUUUGUCGUAGUUACUUAGUACAAAUCAGCCUGUAGAAACAGUUGGAUGAUGCCUUCUUCCUGUUAAAAGGGAGUUUUUUUUCCUCCACAGACGCCAAGUGCGGCUCAUUGUGGGAACUGUAAUAUUGAGGAAUUUUGACAAAUAAAUCUAAGUGUAUUUUUGUAACAAUAGGUUGGCUCUGUUGGACUUCAAAACGUUUAAUUGGUCACAAGUCUCCAUUACAAAUGGGUGUAUAGAGUUUAAAAGACAGAAGCCCAAUGAAAGAAAACAUGUAUUAUGGGAAUUGUUAAAUCCAAUAUUCUUUGAGAUUGACUCUCACAAGUCCUCCAGUUUUUUUUGUUGAACAAUAUCAACCGCUGGAGUUCCCCUUUUAAAUAGUCUUUCUACACUGGGGAAUCACAGUGUCUCUGCGGCCUAGGGCAUAUUUCUGAGUCUGCAGCUCAUUUGUCACAAUGCACCAUUCACCUCUCCUCUAUCCUUUCUGACUGAUCUUUUGAAAUUUGAUAAAGCCUACAUUUCAUUAAAGACAUUGAAGAGGAAUGAGAAAGGAGAGCGGCACUGUGUCAGAGUAGCUUGAGCAGAUCAGCAGAUAAGACAGGCAGAGCGAGGCAGGUCCUUAAUGCUGUGUGCCCCAGACAAAGGCGCCGUUGGCCAGGCCAGUGGAGAACAGAGGUGUCUGUGAGAGUCCAGCGCUCGGCCCCACUCGCCCCAACAUGACUCACCGCGGAGCCGGCCUCUGAGUGCUGACACAAGGAUGUACUUAUAUGACAUGUAGCCUACACACAGUCUCACAAACAACGAGGCAAGUGAGACAUGCAACCCAAAAGAUGUUGUGAUGAAAAAAAACUGUACAUUAGAGCAAUACGCAUACAUAAAGAAAAAUAUAAUAUGAAUGUAAAGUUCAACCCUCAUGUUUUUGUUAAGCUUUCCCUGCUACUGCAAAUUGAUAUCAGUUGUGCAUGAAGUACUCAUCACUAAUCACACUGGAGGAAAUAAUCCUGUCAAGAUCAUUAAUUAAGAGAUUAUUCUUCUCAAAAUCUUUCCAGAUUACACAUUUAUAGCUUCGUUAUGAUCAGAGCCACAUCUUACUGGCAAGGAAAAUGCACGCAAGUAGCAACAAUACACCCAUUCAGAUUCCAGCAGGGAUAGAAAUAAUAGACACUAUUAAAAUGAAUCCUCUACAGCGCCCGGUACAGUAAGAAGACAAAGUUUUCAAAUCAAAAGCUUUGGCCAAGAAGCCGCCUCCUCUCUGCCGAGUACCUCUAUGACACACCCUACGCACAUCCGACACGCCUCUUCUCACACAUGCUGCUCUGCUUGUCUGCACAUCAGUGCUGAGCAUGUAUCAAACACACACAUGCAGCAAACAGACAUGAAUUUUUCUGCCACACAAAUCGAUACACGUGAGCGGCACUUGCUUCAGUCAGAACUGAAACGGGUCUCUCGCACAUGCUCCUACAGACACAUAACACGCACGCACGAGCGCACACACACACACACACACACACACACACAUUUUCACUGCUAGUCUUGGCUCUUUGUAAAUUGAUUUCUAUAUUCUCUCUGUCAUUGACAUCAAUUGCAUUCAUUUCUAUAAAAACAAACAACCAAUCUACCAAAAAAUAAUCCUCCUCUACUUCCUUCCAUCCGGGCAACACAAUUCUCUCUCUCUGUCUCCUUCUUUGUCCUAUCACCUUGGUGAUACUGCUGCAAAUGCUGCUCUCAGUGUCACAGUGAGGUUCUCCUGAUUUCCCUGCUCUCACCCAUCUCCUCCUUGGACUAAUAGACAGCUUUCCUUCCAAAUGUCCACCUGUCCUCUAUCCCUCCCUCCAUCUUCUCCUCCUUGAACCAUCCUCCCUCCUUUUCGUGGUGAUUCUUCUUUGUGUCCUGUUACCCAUGUCACAACCACAGCCUGCUUCAGGGAUUGAAUACAAAGGGUCAUCUUGAAGUCAGCCGGUCAGUUAGCAACAUAAUCAUCCAUUAGGUGAGUCAGUUGCCAUGCAUGUACUUAAUCGACUGAAUUCACUUCCCUUCCACUACUAAAUCACAGUCUUCCAUUUUCAUCAGCUCCUGUCUUCUGGUCCCUCCCCCACAGAUGUCUACAGCAUCAUAAAUUGGCCUCCAUUUAAUAAAUUCAUUCAUACCUUGCAGGUUUAGCUGGUGGCUCUUUGGAGGACGUGACCCCAACUGUUGCUCUGCUCUCCCCUGUCCUUGCGGCGCCACCACUGGGGGACUUCUGGGUUUUGGUUGGGGUCUUCGUGGGAGACUUGCUUGUGGUUGUACUGGUAGUGGUUUCACCAUUGGAUAACUUCUUGCUGAGCUGGAGUCCGCUCGUGAACUUUUCAUGCUAGAGGGAGAUGAGAAAGUCAAAAAAUGUUUUGAGCUCAGUGUGUGCGUGUGUGUGUGUGUGUGUGUGUGUGUGUGUGUGUGUGUUCUUGCCUUUAGAGCCUCCUCAGGCACAGUGAGCUCUCCUCUCACCACCGUGAACAGGUUGGUAUGUGAGACAGGUUAGGGAAAUACUUGCCACAAAAGCACAGUUACGAUAGAUACACACACUUUACACACACAGAUGAACAACAUAAUUUAAAUAAUUUGCUACUGCAAGCUGUUAACUGCACAAUUGGCAUCUUGGUUAAGAAUUCAAAAAUGAUAUUGCCAAUUGUAUUGGUAUGUUUUUGGAAUGAUGAACUCACUGGUGGAUGUGUGAGUGCUGAAGAGAUAAGAAGAUCAGAAAAGUAAAAGGAUAUCAUAUCCAAACCUCAGCUUGUCCUCCAACUUCAGGGUAAUGUACAUUUGCUCCUGGAUACGGACAUCAUUUACAAAGGUCUGCAAUGGCAAUGCCAAGACAAAAAACCAAGAGUGUCAUUGAAAUCAAAUGAAAAAUGGACACUAGCAUUACCAGUUACAAUUGUUAUUUCUACGAAGAUUCAAAGUAAAAAAGAAAACAUUAAGGAUGAUAACACCACAAGAAGGCAACUGAUUAAACUGGUCUCAGUUGUGUCUGUCCUUCCAGGUGGACAUAUUAGGGUUGCAGCUAAGCAAUAUUCAUUAAAGGUUAAUCUGACAAUUAUUUUCUAAGUAAAUCUUUCACUAAGAAAAUAGUUAACAAUACUAAAAAUGAAUGCCCAGAGCCCAGGGUGACAAAGCCCAUAGAAUAUCAAAUUUACUCAUAUUUAUCAAAAAGCAACACAACAAAUCCUCACUUUGAGAAGCUGGAACUCAUUUGCUUGAAAAAUUAUUACAUUCCGGAAGCCUUUGAUCAAUCACAACAGAUCAGAGCCGACUGGGCUUUAUCGGGAGGGGGGCCUUAAAGAGACAGGAGCUAAAAUCAAGUGUUUCAGACAGCUGCUGGAAAGAGGAGCUGAAGGACCGGACAGUCUGAGGAAACUCAUAUGCUAACUGACCAUUAGAACAAGUAAACCUUUUCAAGUAACAACCCGAAUAAAAAUUAUGAACCCGG
This is a long non-coding RNA of Scophthalmus maximus (turbot), 3606 nucleotides long. RefSeq lists it as uncharacterized. The transcript is spliced from 2 exons. NCBI's taxonomy places the organism in Eukaryota, Metazoa, Chordata, Actinopteri, Pleuronectiformes, Scophthalmidae. The record is from RefSeq and is a predicted model, not a curated record.